RNAcentral lists this ribosomal RNA (253 nucleotides) under uncultured bacterium. Its description in RNAcentral is "partial 16S ribosomal RNA". It matches the Rfam family "Bacterial small subunit ribosomal RNA", at positions 524 to 776 of the family's 1533-position model. The record is from RNAcentral.
UACAGAGGUCGCGAGCGUUGUUCGGAUUCAUUGGGCGUAAAGGGUGCGUAGGCGGAGGGGAAAGUCUGAUGUGAAAUCCUGGGGCUCAACCCUGGAACUGCAUUGGAUACUUCCUUGCUAGAGUACUGGAGAGGAAACUGGAAUUUACGGUGUAGCAGUGAAAUGCGUAGAGAUCGUAAGGAAGACCAGUGGCGAAGGCGAGUUUCUGGACAGUUACUGACGCUGAGGCACGAAGGCCAGGGGAGCAAACGGG